CGAACGGUACCACAGAGGAGCUUGCUCCUUGGGUGACGAGUGGCGGACGGGUGAGUAAUGUCUGGGAAACUGCCCGAUGGAAGGGGAUAACUACUGGAAACGGUAGCUAAUACCGCAUAACGUCGCAAGACCAAAGAGGGGGACCUUCGGGCCUCUUGCCAUCGGAUGUGCCCAGAUGGGAUUAGCUAAUUGGUGGGGUAAUGGCUCACCUAAGCGACGAUCCCUACCUGGUCUGAUAGGAUGACCAGCCACACUGGAACUGAGACACGGUCCAGACUUCUACUGGAGGCAACAGUGGGGAAUAUUGCACAAUGGGCGCAAGCCUGAUGCAACCAUGCCGCGUGUAUGAAGGAGGCCUUUCGGGUUGUAAAGUACUUUCAGCGAGGAGGAAGGCGUUGUGGUUAAUAACCGCAACGAUUGACGUUACUCGCAGAAGAAGCACCGGCUAACUCCGUGCCAGCAGCCGCGGUAGUACGGAGGGUGCAAGCGUUAAUCGGAAUUACUGGGCGUAAAGCGCACGCAGGCGGUCUGUCAAGUCGGAUGUGAAAUCCCCGGGCUCAACCUGGGAACUGCAUCCGAAACUGGCAGGCUAGAGUCUUGUAGAGGGGGGUAGAAUUCCAGGUGUAGCGGUGAAAUGCGUAGAGAUCUGGAGGAAUACCGGUGGCGAAGGCGGCCCCCUGGACAAAGACUGACGCUCAGGUGCGAAAGCGUGUGGAGCAAACAGGAUUAGAUACCCUGGUAGUCCACGCCGUAAACGAUGUCGACUUGGAGGUUGUGCCCUUGAGGCGUGGCUUCCGGAGCU
This 802-nucleotide ribosomal RNA is filed under the name uncultured bacterium. Its description in RNAcentral is "bacterial SSU rRNA". It matches the Rfam family "Bacterial small subunit ribosomal RNA", at positions 63 to 853 of the family's 1533-position model. The record is from RNAcentral.